Poecile atricapillus (Black-capped chickadee) is the source of this 315-nucleotide long non-coding RNA. RefSeq lists it as uncharacterized. The transcript is spliced from 2 exons. The record is from RefSeq and is a predicted model, not a curated record. NCBI's taxonomy places the organism in Eukaryota, Metazoa, Chordata, Aves, Passeriformes, Paridae.
GGACAGGCGGCGCCGCCCGGGACCCCCGGCAGUUCCCAGCUUUACUCUCUUCCGGAGGACAGGAAGAGGAACCCGGCUGCUCCUCGGCUGGCUCAGAGCUCCCACAUGCCAGCGGUGGGAGCUGGCUUCCCCACCCUGCCCACUUAAGCCCGGGAGAGCUGGAGCAGCACGGAGGGAGGGCAGCGGUGCAGCCGCUAAGACGGGAGCAGGGGGAAUUGACAGCUGCCCCUCCUCACCAGACUAAAAAAAUACCCAGGUGGCUUUUCAGUUUUGGAUUAUCUUUAUUUUACAGUUUAUAAAAAGCUUUUCCCAAUG